Molecule: long non-coding RNA, 4066 nt
Organism: Alligator mississippiensis (American alligator)
Lineage: Eukaryota; Metazoa; Chordata; Crocodylia; Alligatoridae
Exons: 6
Source: RefSeq, a predicted model, not a curated record
GUCCGGCCCCGGUCCCGGCCCCGCCUGCCUCCGGCUCAUGUCCGUGACGUCCCCGGCACCCAGCCAGGGCGCCUGCCCUCCAGCCACGGAGGGCAGCGCUACACAAGACGCGUAAUGCCCCUCGGACUAACUCUAUUGAGCAUUAAAGCCGACGGCAAAACCCCUGUUAAUGCGCGGUAUUUUAGUCCAACGGGCAUUAAGCGUCACACAAAAAGUGUUCACCUGCGCUAAGAUAUAGUAGCAGGUUGGAGUGCAUUAAGUUAGUACCUGUGGGCAUUUUUACAUACGCAAGUGCCGCAGCACCAGCAUUGCUGAGAAAAAAGGCAGUGGCACACUUCUGAACUAAAACACAUUGGAGGUGCGUUAGUUCAAAAGCACACCGCUGCCAUUUUCUGUGUGCUGACACAUGUUUGGCAGCUGACACAAAUGCAGGCGACACAGCGCAGCGCGUGUCAGCGCUUGUGUGCAGCAGGCUCAGUUCAUCGAGUUUGCUGCAAAGCAGCAGAUCUCUGGCGUAUCACUGAAUGAAAAAGUGUGUAUAAGUACAAGUUCAUCACGGGGGCACAGAAGGGAAUUGAUGAGUUUUUAUUCACCAAGGCGCCCCCGGGGGUUACAAGAAAUAAUGGCCACAAGCUAGCAGAGAGCAGAUUUAGACUGGACAUUAGGAAGAACUUCUUCACAGUUCGAGUGGCCAAGGUCUGGAACGGGCUCCCAAGGGAGGUGGUGCUCUCCCCUACCCUGGGGGUCUUCAAGAGGAGGUUAGAUAAGCAUCUAGCUAGGGUCAUCUAGACCCAGCACUCUUUCCUGCCUAUGCAGGGGGUCAGACUCGAUGAUCUGUUGAGGUCCCUUCCGACCCUAACAUCUAUGAAUCUAUUAAAUGCCCUGUUAUAACAUGUGGGCUUGUAUGCAUGUGCUCUCCUGUGAGGAGGGGGGUGCUUUAAUUAGAUCAGCUUUGAGAGGCACUCUAAUUAAAGUGCCUGUAGCAUCAGGUAUAUUUAGCUUGCGCACUUCAAAAUGUUAGCAAGGGUGCUUUAAAUAAAACGUGUUCAAUGAGCUUUAGUUAAAGCGGCCCUGCCACCAAUUUGAAAUAUGUUGGGAACACUGAAUAUACAACACAGAGGGUGCUGAAGCAUGCUAAUUAGCAUGCUGCAGAAGAUUUGUAGCAGACUCCGUUAAUCAAGUCUGCUCCAACCCAUGCUAAUUAGUACCCCUAGGUACUAAACUUAAUGCGCUGUAAUUACAGCUCAAUAAUGAAUGUCUAGAUGCACCCACAGGCAAUUAACCAUCAGAUCCUACGCCACUUGAUGAAGGCAUCUCACAAAAGCAGAUACAUUACUGAUUCUUCAGAGACUCCACAGGGUGGCACAGGAUGGCAUGUACACACUUAAGUGCCACUGAGAGCAUCUACACGAGAUACUUAAUGCACUAAUUCUAUUGCGCAUUAACACAUCACAGCAAAAACUGUGCUAAUGCGCAGUAGAAUUAGUCUACUGUGUGUUAAGCAUCACAAAAAGAUUGUGUGCCAUUCCUACUGUGCACAUUUAUGUAGUACCUCAUAGCAGAGGUACUAAACUUAAUGCACAGUAGCAACAGCAUAUUAAUGCAUGUGUAGACGCACCCACUUAAAUAUCCAAUAGAUGGAAUACGAUCUGGCUUUCUACAACCUCAUUUACCUGAGAAAAUUGUACCACUUUCAGUAAACUCCCAGCAGUUAAGCUAUGUGGGAUGCAAGGGUUUCUUAGGGUGAUUAUCUUUUAUUAGACCAACUGUGUAGCUGGGAUAGAGUUACAAGAUUUCCAAACCAGGACAUUCUUUUUCAGGUCUUAUAGAUGUAAUUGCAGAUUUUGUUACUGUUCAUAUAAAAGUCAAAACUUUUUACAGUUCUCUUAAACUCUAUACCUCAAUACUAUCUUUAUGGCUUGGAGUUCCACAGCUUAAUUAUUCAUAUUAUGAUUGUUGUCAGUUUUAAGUUUGUCAUCUAUGAAUGUAAUUAGCUGCUACUUUAUCUGUGUAUUAUGAGUAUGAAUUCAUUUCAACCUCUAAGGAAACUUCUGUGUACUGUUUGCUAUUUUAUUGACAUCCAGUAUGUCACCUCUUGUUUAUUUCUUUUGAAGUAGACAGUCUGUAUCUUUUUUUAUUCCUCUUUAGAGGUAUAGGCACCUAGAUACAGUGGUUACUGCUGAGCUUUCCCUAUUUCUGCUUACUCUUUUUGUGUGUGCAUUUUCAAGGGUAAAAUGUGAAAAUGAAAGCAGAACACCUAUGACUCUGAUUCUGUUGAAAAUCCUGAGUAACCAACUGGAACACUGCAAUCAAGGGAUGCCCAAGGCUCUUCCUGAAGUGGUGAUUAGUUAAUAAGGAUUUCCAGUAUGCUUCACAUUGCACUUACCUUUAUUGAACUUCAUCUGUAAUUAUGCUGUGCCAUUGCCAUGCUCUGGCCGGGGUUGGCAACCUUUAGCAGCAACAGGUCAAAGUAACAAAGCUUGAUUUGAAGAUUUGCCUACAGAAUCUUAAGUGGAGAAUUCAUGCCUAUUGCCCUCUGAACAAAGUCCCUGGCUCUCAUGAUUCAUUCCAUUUUGGAGGAUGCUGUAGGUGAAAAGAGGCCUGCUGUAGAAAACUGCUCUCAGAGAAUGCCUGAACAUUAAUAGGGCCAAGCAUCUAAGGGAGACGCGCCAAAGGGAGUAGCACCCCGGGAGGCACCAUCCCCGAUGGAGUUGCGGACAGUUCCCCCCAGGGCAAGGGCUGCUCAGAGCAGUCUGGUACUAGUCUCCCCAGUUUGGCUGCGGAACAGGUAUGAGGCCCUGGCGACACUACAGGAGGAGAGAGGGGAAGAAACCAUUGGAGAGGAGGACACUCCACAUUCCUCGUGCUCCAACCAGACUGAAAGUGCUAAGCCGACCCAGAGGAAGAAUCAUCGGGUGAUCCUCAUAGGGGACUCAAUCCUGAGAGGUACAGAGGGUCCCAUCUGUCACCAGGACCCCUCGCGUGAGGUCUACUGUCUGCCCGGCACCAAGAUUGAGAACGUGACAGGGAUGAUCCCAGCCAUUAUCUGCCCCACCGACUACUACCCCAUGGUCCUUAUCCAUGUGGGUACGAAUGAUGCGGCCAGGAGAAGCCCCGAUCACCUGAUGGCAGACUACCAGUCACUGGGGGGCCUGCUGAAGGAGAUAGGAGCACAGGUGGUGUUCUCCUCCGUCCUAACAGUGAGCAGACAUGGAAGGAGACAAGAGACCUGAAUUGGUGAGGUCAACUUCAGACUUCGGAAUUGGUGUCUCGAGGCAGGCUUUGGCUUCCUGGACAAUGAUCCGCACAUCACGAUGAGGGACAUGCUCGGAUGGGAUGGGCUGCACCUUUCCCCUAAAGGUGCCAUUCACUCAAGGAACAAGUGGGGAUGAAUCUACAGAUGUCUGGCAUUAACACUGCAGCAUUAAGGAGCUACUCUGGAGUGCUGGUACCUUUCAAAGUUACUGUACUAAUGUAUGUUGAUGUAUAAUUCUGCUCUGACAUGUAGAUAUACUAACUGACAAGGAAGCUAAAAAAUAGUUCUUGAUGUGAACAACAGUAGAAGAAGAAAGAACACCACCCUUCAAAAGUAUGGAGAGACCAGAGCAGCCCUAGAAAAAGCAGUGAGAAUAGUGCUGAAGAGUGGGACAGAAAUACAGAGGCACCACAGUCCUCAGCAGAUGGAAAGUGGGGACAGUGCUCUGCAAAUAGAACUAUUUAAAAAAAACGAAGCCUGGAUAAAGCCCAGAGUAUUCCCAAGCAGUCCCACCCUAGAGGCUCUAUACAGUUCAGGGAAUAGCGAAUAUAAGACAACAUUGACUUUUUACAUAUUGUGUCAUAAAAAUUGGUUGAUUUCUUCAGUGCAAAACCCACUGUGUCCAAAUCCUUCUGAGUUUUCCUCUCCUCUCUUUCCUUACCUUACAAAUUGUUGAACUAUACAUAUGUUAAGGAACAGGAACCACUGCUUUGUUUAAGCCAGGGGCCUGCCUCUUUAUUGUCUUGCGUCUCAUGUAGUAAGUUUACAUCUGUGAAUUUUAAAAUGCUACUAAAUCAGAAUUAUCCAUUC